GUAGGUGAACCUGCGGAUGGAUCAUUAUCACGUAUCCACGUUUUAUCAACCAUUGUGAACCGUUCUUACCUUUGAGAAGAAUUUUGUAAGUGAUUGGGAGGAGAGAGAGAGAGUGUGUGUGUGGAGAGAGAGAGAUUUAUUUCUCUUUCUACAUAUGUCUUUCUUUCUUUCUUUCUUUCUUUCUCAAAGUGUAUUUUAAUCACUUCAUUUUUCAUUAACACUUUAACCAAAAACUAUUAAACUCAUGUCUUAUCUUAUUUUAUACUCCUUCACGGAGAUAAAAUUCUAUUACGAAACAUAAGAACAACUCUUAGCAACGGAUAUCUUGGUUCUC
Molecule: unclassified non-coding RNA, 334 nt
Filed under: rhizosphere metagenome
Description: partial ribosomal RNA internal transcribed spacer region
Source: RNAcentral